RNAcentral lists this long non-coding RNA (243 nucleotides) under Mytilus galloprovincialis (Mediterranean mussel). Lineage: Eukaryota; Metazoa; Mollusca; Bivalvia; Mytilida; Mytilidae. The record is from RNAcentral.
UUUAUUAACCAACUUACUACAAUAUGUAUAGAAAUGCCCAUGCUUUAUAAAAGGAAAAUUUCGACAUCUGGUCAUUAUGAACGAAGAAAUUGCUACAGCCAGUCAUUACGAAAUCUCAGUCAUGCAUUACGAAAUCACACCCGUGCAUUACGAAAUCACAGUCAUGCAUUAUGAACAGAUGAAACGGGACAUCGAUUAAAUCAAAAUGUCGUUUAUUUCUUUAAAUAAGUGUGACAUUUUUUU